Molecule: unclassified non-coding RNA, 221 nt
Filed under: uncultured Tomentella
Lineage: Eukaryota; Fungi; Basidiomycota; Agaricomycetes; Thelephorales; Thelephoraceae
Description: sequence contains ITS2
Source: RNAcentral
GCACCUCAACUCUCAUGGCUUUGCCCAUGAUGAGCUUGGACUUUGGGGGUCUUUGCUGGCUUACGGUCGGCUCCUCUCAAACGAAUCAGCUUGCCAGUGUUUGGUGGCAUCACAGGUGUGAUAACUAUCUGCGCUUGUGGUUUUCCACUAGAUAACCUUCAGUGAUGGAGGUUCGCUGGAGCUCAUAAACGUCUCUCCUCAGCGAGGACAGCACUUUGACU